RNAcentral lists this long non-coding RNA (205 nucleotides) under Mytilus galloprovincialis (Mediterranean mussel). The record is from RNAcentral. Lineage: Eukaryota; Metazoa; Mollusca; Bivalvia; Mytilida; Mytilidae.
CUCGUUUCUUGUUUUUUUUUUAUAUAGAUUAGACUGUUGGUUUUCCCGUUUGAAUGGUUUUACACAAGUAAUUUUGGGGCCCUUUAUAGCUUGUUGUUCGGUGUGAGCCAAGGCUCCGUGUUGAAGGCCGUAUCUUGACCUAUAAUGGGUUACUUUUAUAAAUUGUUAUUUGGAUGGAGAGUUGUCUCAUUGGCGCUCAUACCAC